GACGAACGCUGGCGGCGUGCUUAACACAUGCAAGUCGAACGGAAAGGCCCUGCUUGCAGGGUACUCGAGUGGCGAACGGGUGAGUAACACGUGGGUGAUCUGCCCUGCACUUCGGGAUAAGCCUGGGAAACUGGGUCUAAUACCGGAUAGGAGCCAUUUUUAGUGUGAUGGUUGGAAAGUUUUUUCGGUGUAGGAUGAGCUCGCGGCCUAUCAGCUUGUUGGUGGGGUAAUGGCCUACCAAGGCGGCGACGGGUAGCCGGCCUGAGAGGGUGGACGGCCACAUUGGGACUGAGAUACGGCCCAGACUCCUACGGGAGGCAGAAGUGGGGAAUAUUGCACAAUGGGCGCAAGCCUGAUGCAGCGACGCCGCGUGGGGGAUGACGGCCUUCGGGUUGUAAAAUCCUUUCGCUAGGGACGAAGCUUUUUGUGACGGUACCUAGAGAAGAAGCACCGGCUAACUACGUG
This 465-nucleotide ribosomal RNA is filed under the name uncultured bacterium. RNAcentral's name for it is "partial 16S ribosomal RNA". It matches the Rfam family "Bacterial small subunit ribosomal RNA", at positions 28 to 507 of the family's 1533-position model. The record is from RNAcentral.